CAUAUAAGUAUAUAAAGCAUUCAUUAAUUGGUGACAAUCAAACAUUUUAAUAGAAGAAUUUAAAACUGCACCAAUUAAGUAAACUGGAGGAAUUGGAAAGAAAUACUUUUUGAAUUUCGCUUGCAUAUUUACAACAACAUCCGUAUAUCUAUCUUUCUUCUUAAAUUCAUGUAGUAGCAAAGAAAUUUCAGCUAUAUGCACUAAAGCCAUAGUAACAGUUGGGUAAUAUGCGCCAGAAAACACAACAGUAGCAGUAUAAAAUUUAUGCAAAAAUUUAACAACAUCACUAAUGACCUCCCNNN
This 302-nucleotide long non-coding RNA is filed under the name Nicotiana benthamiana. RNAcentral's name for it is "long non-coding RNA (NBEN_LNC039077)". The record is from RNAcentral. Lineage: Eukaryota; Viridiplantae; Streptophyta; Magnoliopsida; Solanales; Solanaceae.